GACGAACGCUGGCGGCGUGCUUAACACAUGCAAGUCGAACGUGAUUUUUAUGGGAAUUCUUUCGGGAAUGGAGAGGAAAUGAAAGGGGCGAACCGUGGAUUAACACCUGAUCAGACUACCUUACACAGGGGGAUAGCCGUUUGAAACGACAAUUAAUACCGCAUGAGACCACAGAAUCGCAUGAUAUAGUGGUCCAAGAUUUAUCUGUGUAAGAAGGGCUCGCGUCUGAUGAUAUAGUUGGAAGGGUAAAGGGCUACGAAGGCGACGAUCAGUACCCGGUAUCAGAGGCUGAACGCACACAUUGGAACUGAGCCACGGUCGGAACUCCUCCGGGAGGCAGCAGUGGCGAAUAUUGCAAAACGGGGUGAACGAUGAUGCAGCGACGACGCGUGAGCGCAGAAGGUUUUCGAAUAGUAAUGCUUUGUUCUAUGAGAAGAUCAUGACGGUAUCAUAGGAGGAAGCCCCGGCUAACUACGUG
Molecule: ribosomal RNA, 478 nt
Filed under: uncultured bacterium
Lineage: Bacteria
Description: partial 16S ribosomal RNA
Rfam family: Bacterial small subunit ribosomal RNA
Source: RNAcentral